Clostridium sp. 7_2_43FAA is the source of this 108-nucleotide ribosomal RNA. It matches the Rfam family "Bacterial large subunit ribosomal RNA", at positions 2818 to 2925 of the family's 2925-position model. NCBI's taxonomy places the organism in Bacteria, Bacillati, Bacillota, Clostridia, Eubacteriales, Clostridiaceae. The record is from Rfam.
AGCAUAAGCUAGUAAGACCCCUUGAAGAACACAAGGUUGAUAGGUCAGAGGUGUAAGUGUGGUAACAUAUUUAGCUGACUGAUACUAAUAGGUCGAGGGCUUGACCAA